Molecule: small RNA, 127 nt
Filed under: Marmota monax (woodchuck)
Lineage: Eukaryota; Metazoa; Chordata; Mammalia; Rodentia; Sciuridae
Source: RNAcentral
GCUGGGUGUGGAAGUGCACACCUGUAAUCCCAGUGACUCAGGAGGCUGAUGUAGGAGGAUCACAAGCUCAAAGCUAGCUUCAGCAAUUUAGCAAGGCUCUAGGGAAUUUAGUGAGACCCUGUCUCAA